CCUACGGGUGGCAGCAGUGAGGAAUAUUGGUCAAUGGGCGCGAGCCUGAACCAGCCAAGUCGCGUGAGGGAAGACGGUCCUAUGGAUUGUAAACCUCUUUUGUCGGGGAGCAAAAGACGCCACGCGUGGCGUUCCGAGAGUACCCGAAGAAAAAGCAUCGGCUAACUCCGUGCCAGCAGCCGCGGUAAUACGGAGGAUGCGAGCGUUAUCCGGAUUUAUUGGGUUUAAAGGGUGCGCAGACGGAAGAUCAAGUCAGCGGUAAAAUUGAGAGGCUCAACCUCAUCGAGCCGUUGAAUCUGGUAGUCUUGAGUGAGCGAGAGGUAUGCGGAAUGCGUGGUGUAGCGGUGAAAUGCAUAGAUAUCACGCAGAACUCCGAUUGCGAAGGCAGCAUACCGGCGCUCAACUGACGCUCAUGCACGAAAGUGUGGGUAUCGAACAGGAUUAGAUACCCUUGUAGUC
This 459-nucleotide ribosomal RNA is filed under the name uncultured bacterium. Its description in RNAcentral is "partial 16S ribosomal RNA". It matches the Rfam family "Bacterial small subunit ribosomal RNA", at positions 338 to 795 of the family's 1533-position model. The record is from RNAcentral.